RNAcentral lists this ribosomal RNA (253 nucleotides) under uncultured bacterium. RNAcentral describes it as "partial 16S ribosomal RNA". It matches the Rfam family "Bacterial small subunit ribosomal RNA", at positions 524 to 776 of the family's 1533-position model. The record is from RNAcentral.
GACAGAGGGUGCAAACGUUGUUCGGAAUUACUGGGCGUAAAGCGUGCGCAGGCGGUUCGCUAAGACAGAUGUGAAAUCCCCGGGCUUAACCUGGGAACUGCAUUUGUGACUGGCGGGCUAGAGUAUGGCAGAGGGGGGUAGAAUUCCACGUGUAGCAGUGAAAUGCGUAGAGAUGUGGAGGAAUACCGAUGGCGAAGGCAGCCCCCUGGGCCAAUACUGACGCUCAUGCACGAAAGCGUGGGGAGCAAACAGG